RNAcentral lists this ribosomal RNA (451 nucleotides) under uncultured bacterium. Its description in RNAcentral is "partial 16S ribosomal RNA". It matches the Rfam family "Bacterial small subunit ribosomal RNA", at positions 354 to 796 of the family's 1533-position model. The record is from RNAcentral.
GUGGGGAAUAUUGGACAAUGGGGGGAACCCUGAUCCAGCCAUGCCGCGUGUGUGAAGAAGGCCUUUUGGUUGUAAAGCACUUUAAGCGAGGAGGAGGCUACCGAGAUUAAUACUCUUGGAUAGUGGACGUUACUCGCAGAAUAAGCACCGGCUAACUCUGUGCCAGCAGCCGCGGUAAUACAGAGGGUGCAAGCGUUAAUCGGAUUUACUGGGCGUAAAGCGCGCGUAGGUGGCCAAUUAAGUCAAAUGUGAAAUCCCCGAGCUUAACUUGGGAAUUGCAAUCGAUACUGGUUGGCUAGAGUAUGGGAGAGGAUGGUAGAAUUCCAGGUGUAGCGGUGAAAUGCGUAGAGAUCUGGAGGAAUACCGAUGGCGAAGGCAGCCAUCUGGCCUAAUACUGACACUGAGGUGCGAAAGCAUGGGGAGCAAACAGGAUUAGAUACCCUUGUAGUCC